GCUGGCGGCAUGCCUCAUACAUGCAAGUCGAACGAGAUCUUCGGAUCUAGUGGCGCACGGGUGAGUAACAUGUGGGAAUCUACCUAAAGGUUCGGAAUAACUGCGGGAAACUGUAGCUAAUACCGGAUGUGUCUGUAAAGAGAAAGAUUUAUCGCCUUUAGAUGAGCCCGCACUAGAUUAGCUAGUUGGUGAGGUAAUUGCUCCACCAAGGCUACGAUCUAUAGCUGAUUUGAGAGGAUGAUCAGCCACACUGGGACUGAGACACGGCCCAGACUCCUACGGGAGGCAGCAGUAGGGAAUAUUGGACAAUGGGGGAAACCCUGAUCCAGCAAUGCCGCGUGAGUGAAGAAGGCCCUCGGGUUGUAAAACUCUUUCAUCAAUGAUGAUAAUGACAUUAAUUGAAGAAGAAGCUCCGGCUAACUUCGUGCCAGCAGCCGCGGUAAUACGAAGGGGGCUAGCGUUGUUCGGAAUCACUGGGCGUAAAGCGUAUGUAGGCGGAUCAAAAAGUUAGAUGUGAAAUCCCUGGGCUCAACCCAGGAACUGCAUUUAAAACUAGUGAUCUAGAAUUUGGUAAGGGUUAGUAGAAUUUCCAGUGUAGAGGUGAAAUUCGUAGAUAUUGGAAAGAAUACCAGAAGCGAAGGCGACUAACUAGGCCAUUUUUGACGCUGAGAUACGAAAGCGUGGGUAGCAAACAGGAUUAGAUACCCUGGUAGUCCACGCAGUAAACGAUGAGUGCUAGUCGCUGGUACAUUAGUAUCAGUGUCGUAGCUAACGCAUUAAGCACUCCGCCUGGGAAGUACGGU
RNAcentral lists this ribosomal RNA (803 nucleotides) under uncultured Alphaproteobacteria bacterium. Its description in RNAcentral is "bacterial SSU rRNA". It matches the Rfam family "Bacterial small subunit ribosomal RNA", at positions 35 to 886 of the family's 1533-position model. Lineage: Bacteria; Pseudomonadati; Pseudomonadota; Alphaproteobacteria. The record is from RNAcentral.